CCUUUACAAUGCACGAAAGUGUGAUAAGGGAAUCCCUAGUGCUUAUGGAAACAUAAGCUUUUGGCAAGGGUAGGAACCUUGUCGAAUAAGCAGUGGGUAAGACCGGUGCCAGCCGCCGCGGUAACCCCGGCGCUGCAAGUGGCGAUCAGCAUUACUGGGCCUAAAGCGUUCGUAGCCGGUUUUGUAAAUUCUUUGUGAAAUCGUCAGGCUUAACCUGACGGCGUGCAGAGGAGACUGCAUUACUUGAGAUCGGGAGGCGUUAGAGGUAUUUUGGAGGGAGCGGUAAAAUGCUAUAAUCUCUAAAAGACCACCUGUGGCGAAGGCGUCUAACGAGAACGAUUCUGACGGUGAGGAACGAAGGCCAGGGGAGCAAAAGGG
Molecule: ribosomal RNA, 378 nt
Filed under: uncultured archaeon
Lineage: Archaea
Description: bacterial SSU rRNA
Rfam family: Archaeal small subunit ribosomal RNA
Source: RNAcentral